CAAGGGUUUUUUCUCUUAUUGCAAAUAUUGCAUCUGAUCGCUAGAAAUGAUAUGAGUAGCAUUUUAUUAUUUUCGCGUUGGUCUUAAAGCACACAGAAAACUCCAAAUAAUCGGUUCGGUGGACAUUGUUCAAUUUGAAAUUUCUCAACAACAUUUUUUUUAAACACACAUCGUCUUGACUCGUAAUCAAAGCCACAUUUUUCGGUUUCAUUUAAAGACCCACAUUAGAAAACUUGAAUGUCAUUUUACCUGCCGACCUUGGACCACUAUCGGACCAGUAUCACCUAUCUAGAGAAAUUUAGGGCGCCCUAAACCAAACCCGGAACGUCAGUAUCAUCAGCGCAUUCGACCAAGCUACAGUCAAAACAAACAUUUCAGUAUACAAUCGUUUGUUGAUAGUGAAGAUUAUAGAGUGCAAGCAGACAUCAUCAUGAGCGAUUCUUCAGAGCAAACGAACACAAACAAUCAAGAAAAUAAGGAAGAUGUGACCGACAACGGUUCAAACACUAACCCGGAGGACGCCUCAGAGCAGCCGGCGCUAAACCGGAAGAAGCGGCACAUAUUUGAUGUUCCAGUCAGACCGAAUGUGGGACUGGAUGGAGAAGAAACAGAAGAAUUUAAUUAAAGAUCAAGUAUUUAUACUAAAUCUGUGUGUUCUACAUUAUAACUAUUAUAUUUUUUUAUUGCGUUAAUAAGCAUGUACGUGUGAAAGUAUUGUAUUUUACUAUAAACAUUUGUACAACUACAUAUAUAUGUAACUGUAAUUGUUAAUUGCCACAUGAAACUUGAAAUACAUGUUUUAAAAUAUUUGUUGUGGAGUAUAAUUUUUUAUUAUCAAAGAUUCAACGAACAGAACUAGACUUAUAAAUCACUACGCACUUCACUUGUGUUUCAGAUAUUGAUAAUUCUGUCUAAACUGAUUCAUAUUCCUCUUGACCGAUAAAUUUCAUUCUAUAGUUUCAUUCGAAAGGUUCUACUGCCUGUCCUUCCAAAUCUACGUUGGUUCUAUCAGGUACAUCAAAGGUUUGUCGUUUUCUCCUGCUUAAUUGAGUACGGUUUUCCUCUAAACCGGCCUCUGUCGGGUCAGUAUUGGCUUCAGAAAAUGCAGUUUCUUCACCGUUGUCACACAUCGUAAUAACCUUCCACCUGAGUUUUCGAUUUAACAGUUUUUUACCGACUAAAACCCCUUAUUACAAAGGUAAGAAUGCGUAGGAAUCUAGUCAGUAGGCUGCCAAACGUCGAAAAGGCCGGUCAUCAUGAGUGAUAAUUCUGAGACCUGUGACACGAAUGUACCGUCUAAUGAAGCCGAAGAUCAAAAAUCUUCUACCAAAAAGGUGCUAAUUCGGAAAAAGAGGCAAAUAUUUGAUGGACCGGAUAGACCCAACGCUGGAUUGGGAGGCAAUGAAGAAACAGAAUUUACGUAAACGUGUUUAUUUCUUGUACUAAUUGUAACCGCAGUGUAUGCACUAAUGCCACAAAUAAAUGGUUAAACGAU
Long non-coding RNA from Zophobas morio, 1495 nucleotides. RefSeq lists it as uncharacterized. NCBI's taxonomy places the organism in Eukaryota, Metazoa, Arthropoda, Insecta, Coleoptera, Tenebrionidae. The record is from RefSeq and is a predicted model, not a curated record. The transcript has 3 exons.